This 228-nucleotide long non-coding RNA is filed under the name Erythranthe guttata (spotted monkey flower). Its description in RNAcentral is "long non-coding RNA (EGUT_LNC000722)". The record is from RNAcentral. Lineage: Eukaryota; Viridiplantae; Streptophyta; Magnoliopsida; Lamiales; Phrymaceae.
GAGUGUGUCUCUUCGGUUCUUCAAGAACCAUUGUUUUUUUUUAAAUGAACUUAUCGGAGUUGCUCUCCGUGGCGUUCGCCCCUGACUCAUCAAUCAAUCUUCCGCAAUUGAUUGUGGCGUCUUCGCAUACCAAGGUUCUUGCCUCUUUAUAGGCAAUGGGUCGAGGUUCCACCUUUGAUUCCUUCUUUGGACGGUCCAGGAUUUGAAAUCCGAAGUAUUGAUACCGGG